RNAcentral lists this ribosomal RNA (490 nucleotides) under uncultured bacterium. Its description in RNAcentral is "partial 16S ribosomal RNA". It matches the Rfam family "Bacterial small subunit ribosomal RNA", at positions 29 to 507 of the family's 1533-position model. The record is from RNAcentral.
AAUGAACGCUGGCGGCAUGCCUUACGCAUGCAAGUCGAACGGCAGCAUGACCUAGCUUGCUAGGUUGAUGGCGAGUGGCGAACGGGUGAGUAAUGCAUCGGAACGUGCCUUUUAGUGGGGGAUAACGUAGCGAAAGUUACGCUAAUACCGCAUAUUCUCUGAGGAGGAAAGCAGGGGACCUUCGGGCCUUGCGCUAGAAGAGCGGCCGAUGUCGGAUUAGCUAGUUGGUGAGGUAAAGGCUCACCAAGGCAACGAUCCGUAGCGGGUCUGAGAGGAUGAUCCGCCACACUGGGACUGAGACACGGCCCAGACUCCUACGGGAGGCAGCAGUGGGGAAUUUUGGACAAUGGGCGCAAGCCUGAUCCAGCCAUGCCGCGUGAGUGAAGAAGGCCUUCGGGUUGUAAAGCUCUUUCGGCUGGGAAGAAAUCGCACCCUCUAAUACAGGGUGUGGAUGACGGUACCAGCAGAAGAAGCACCGGCUAACUACGUG